UGCUGCAGAUGGCCUUCAUCUGUGGGGUCAGGAGCACCCUCAAUCUAAAAGUUGUCCAUCUGGAAAGAGCUAUUGUUGCUACCCAUGCUGGGGAACAAUGGUCAGCGGGUUGAAUUUUUUUCUAGCCAGCGGGUCAUCUCAGUGUGGACUCUGACGGGCUUCGUUCCCUGCCCCGGUGGAUCUGGAAGUGCCUACGACCUUGGGAGCGGUGGCCUUUCUCCUAACAGAAGAGCAUAUCGAUGCUCUUAGGAUUUUGAAGCUAGAGGAGAUCAAAGCGCAGAUCCUAUGCAGCAGAUGCUUUGCUCUAUGGCCAAGGCUGUCAUCCCCAAAAGAAUGCGUGGCUGCCCAAGUGAAACAAUGGGAUCUAGUUGUAUUUUAUGUAGAUAAAUUUGAUUUUUAAGAAAGAAUUGGAUAAAUGCAAUAUAAUGAAAGUAUAACCAAGACACAUGCUGAUAAAUGACAGGAACUUUGGGGAAACAUUAUGUUAAAAAUGUCAGAAGAUGGGAUUAAUUAAGGGAAAUGGCCAAAAUUGUUAUCAUGUAGGGUCUAAGGAGGGUACACCUUGAAAAUGACUUUUGGUAUAGAGAAGGGUAUGGAACAUAUGUAGAAAUUAUACAAAAUAAAUGCUAAGAAGUCAAUUAAGUAUUUUUUGUUAAUUUUUUCUCAAAUGAAAUUUGUUACCUUUGUUUGGAUUUUGAAAGGUUAUUCUUUUGUUUUGAGUCAUAUCUUUUAAGAAACUUACUGUAUGUACAAAUGGGUUUCUUUCUAUAUCAAUCUUAAUAUAUCCAGCAAAAGUAAUUUUAUACUCAAGAAUAAAAUUGAAUGCUGUUUGAUUUAUUCAUUCAGAUAUUUGCUCUGAGCAAGACUCUACCAGGCACUGAAAUAGAAGGCCCUCAAGUGUAUUCAAUAAAGAAUUUGAUGAACUUAUAUCUGUAUGGUUAUAUGGAUGGUUCUUUUUGGCUUUCAUCAUUUUAAAUUGAUAUAUGAUAACUGUCCAUAUUUAUGGGGUACAGAGUAACUUUUUUUUGAGAUGGCUCUCACUCUGUCACUCAGGCUGGAGUGCAGUGGCACGAUCUCAGUUUACUGCAACCUCUGCCUCCUGGGUUCAAGCAAUUCUCCUGCCUCAGUCUCCUGAAUAGCUGGGAUUACAGGCACAUGCCACCACGCCUGGCUAAUUUUUGUAUUUUUGUUUUUUUUUAGUAGAGAGGGGGUUUUACCAUGUUGACCAGGCUGAUCUUGAACUCCUGACCUCAGGUAAUCCACCCACUGUGGCCUCCCAAAGGGCUGGGAUUACAGGCAUGAGCCACCACAUCCGGUCCCAGAGUAAUAUUUGGACACAUGUUUGCGAUGUGUAAUGAUCAAAUCACAGUAAUCAGUACUUUCAUCACCUCAAGCAUUCAUCGUUUCUUUGUAUUGGGAAUAUUCAAAAUCUUCUCUUCUAUUUGAAAAUAGUCAAUCAAUUGUUGUUGAUUAUAGUCACCCUCUAGUGCUCUAGAACACUAGGAAUGAUUCUUCCUAUCUGUGCUUUUGUACUCAUUAACCAAACAAAAGAAUAUUCUUUAUACAUCAGUUUUUAUCACCUAUUAAGAUUAUAAUGAUUAACAUAAUUUGCAAAUUACAUAACAUUGAAAAUCA
Rhinopithecus bieti (black snub-nosed monkey) is the source of this 1635-nucleotide long non-coding RNA. NCBI's taxonomy places the organism in Eukaryota, Metazoa, Chordata, Mammalia, Primates, Cercopithecidae. The record is from Ensembl.